AUGUGCCACCAUGCCUGACUGUGUCUGAUUUUCUAAGAAUGGUAGGUAGAUAUUGUAUUUAAUAUUUUUUAGAACAUUAUUAUUAGGAUGUGCUUGAAACUUAACUCAAGAAGGUUUCUCUGAAGCCCAUCACUAUGGGUUCUGCACUUGUCACUUUAUCCCUUCCCUGUAAAGGAGACAGACAGUACUCACUGUCCAACAGUCAGACUGAGUUUCAGAUGUGUCUGAACUAGUUAGAGAAAUGGUCAGCUAAGUUUACCUCCAAUAUUCACC
Phodopus roborovskii (desert hamster) is the source of this 273-nucleotide long non-coding RNA. RefSeq lists it as uncharacterized. NCBI's taxonomy places the organism in Eukaryota, Metazoa, Chordata, Mammalia, Rodentia, Cricetidae. The transcript is spliced from 2 exons. The record is from RefSeq and is a predicted model, not a curated record.